GAUGACCAAAAACAAAAGAUGAUUAUUAAUCAUUCAGAAUUGAUCAGUAAUAACAACAAUUUGUGUUCAUUUCCAUUAAUAUGAGACCUGCCCUACACAACACCUGUAAUUUGGAAGGGUAUGAUUCUUGUUGUUUGUCCAAAAUCAUUGAUGUGAGAGAUCUAUGGAUGGGAUGGAUUUGAUAAUUCUAGAAAAGUGAAGUAGGAGAUCUUUCAUGUGGACAUACCUUUGUUUUUGUCCAAUUAUCUGACUUCCAAGAUUUGCAAAAUUAAAUGUACUGUUUCAUAAUGCCAGUAAAUAAAAUAGUAGUAGUUGUAUUAUUUC
This is a long non-coding RNA of Solanum tuberosum (potato), 324 nucleotides long. RefSeq lists it as uncharacterized. The record is from RefSeq and is a predicted model, not a curated record. NCBI's taxonomy places the organism in Eukaryota, Viridiplantae, Streptophyta, Magnoliopsida, Solanales, Solanaceae. The transcript is spliced from 2 exons.